AAAUCAAUUUUAGGGGUACUAAAUUAUGACUUAUGGAUUUAAAUAUACUUUGAACGCCUGAAAAGAUAUACACCAUUAAAAAAUACACAUAAUACAAUAGUAUCUAUGUCUGUAAUUAUCAAAUUGUGGACCUAAUACGUUCCCACUGUCGUUCAUACACAGGUAAAUUUAUACACAGCCCAUCUGUUAAACUGUCCCAUUGUCUGUUCGGAGCAUCAUUUAACCUUCACCAUCGAAGAUGUAUGCUGCUGUGUUCCUUCUACUCGCUCUAUUUUCCCAAUUAAUGCCUUUGUAUAGAUGCGAAGAAGAUAGAGACUAUGUGUCUGUAUCUUCUCUGCCUGGUCCAAAUCCUCCCCAAAUACCGUGUGAAUACGAACUUAACUAUGCAGAUUACUUAUAUUGUAAUGCAAGAAACAUUUAUAAUAAGAUAAAGGCUCGAAUAUUUGAGUAAUGCAUUCGUAAUUAAAUAUUUCAGAAAGAAUAAUUGAAUUUAUUCACUUAUCUUCUGUAAAAUUUAAAAAUAAUAAUAAUAAUAAUAAUAAUAAAUGUAUUGUUUAUUAAAUACGA
RNAcentral lists this long non-coding RNA (567 nucleotides) under Centruroides sculpturatus (bark scorpion). RNAcentral's name for it is "uncharacterized LOC111633001, transcript variant X1". The record is from RNAcentral. Lineage: Eukaryota; Metazoa; Arthropoda; Arachnida; Scorpiones; Buthidae.